ACGGGGGUUGCAAGCGUUGUCCGGAAUUACUAGGCGUAAAGGGCAGGCAGGCGGUUUCAUCAGCUUUUUGUUAAAGGCCACGGCUCAACUGUUGUACGGCUGGCUGAACUGUGGAACUAGGAUGCGGGUGGGGACAGCAGAAUUCCUGGUGUAGCGGUGGAAUGCGCAAAUAUCAGGAGGAACACCGAAAGCGAAAGCAGCCUCCUAAAACGUCAUUGACGCUAAGGUGCGAAAGUUAGGGGAUCAAACAG
This 251-nucleotide ribosomal RNA is filed under the name uncultured prokaryote. RNAcentral describes it as "partial 16S rRNA". It matches the Rfam family "Bacterial small subunit ribosomal RNA", at positions 525 to 775 of the family's 1533-position model. The record is from RNAcentral.